UAAGUCUUCAAAGAUUGACCUUACUUCCGUU
RNAcentral lists this non-coding RNA (31 nucleotides) under Rattus norvegicus (Norway rat). The record is from RNAcentral. Lineage: Eukaryota; Metazoa; Chordata; Mammalia; Rodentia; Muridae.